Molecule: ribosomal RNA, 492 nt
Filed under: uncultured bacterium
Lineage: Bacteria
Description: partial 16S ribosomal RNA
Rfam family: Bacterial small subunit ribosomal RNA
Source: RNAcentral
AGUGAACGCUGGCGGUAGGCCUAACACAUGCAAGUCGAACGGCAGCACGGUAAGAUCUUGCUCUUACGGGUGGCGAGUGGCGGACGGGUGAGGAAUACAUCGGAAUCUACUUUUUCGUGGGGGAUAACGUAGGGAAACUUACGCUAAUACCGCAUACGACCUACGGGUGAAAGCAGGGGAUCUUCGGACCUUGCGCGAUUGAAUGAGCCGAUGUCGGAUUAGCUAGUUGGCGGGGUAAAGGCCCACCAAGGCGACGAUCCGUAGCUGGUCUGAGAGGAUGAUCAGCCACACUGGAACUGAGACACGGUCCAGACUCCUACGGGAGGCAGCAGUGGGGAAUAUUGGACAAUGGGCGCAAGCCUGAUCCAGCCAUACCGCGUGGGUGAAGAAGGCCUUCGGGUUGUAAAGCCCUUUUGUUGGGAAAGAAAAGCAGCAGGUUAAUACCCCGCUGUUCUGACGGUACCCAAAGAAUAAGCACCGGCUAACUUCGUG